RNAcentral lists this ribosomal RNA (992 nucleotides) under Aspergillus terreus. Its description in RNAcentral is "SSU rRNA". It matches the Rfam family "Eukaryotic small subunit ribosomal RNA", at positions 73 to 1076 of the family's 1831-position model. Lineage: Eukaryota; Fungi; Ascomycota; Eurotiomycetes; Eurotiales; Aspergillaceae. The record is from RNAcentral.
GCCUUUCUGUGAAACUGCGAAUGGCUCAUUAAAUCAGUUAUCGUUUAUUUGAUAGUACCUUACUACAUGGAUACCUGUGGUAAUUCUAGAGCUAAUACAUGCUAAAAACCCCGACUUCGGAAGGGGUGUAUUUAUUAGAUAAAAAACCAAUGCCCUUCGGGGCUCCUUGGUGAUUCAUAAUAACUUAACGAAUCGCAGGCCUUGCGCCGGCAUGGUUCAUUCAAAUUUCUGCCCUAUCAACUUUCGAUGGUAGGAUAGUGGCCUACCAUGGUGGCAACGGGUAACGGGGAAUUAGGGUUCGAUUCCGGAGAGGGAGCCUGAGAAACGGCUACCACAUCCAAGGAAGGCAGCAGGCGCGCAAAUUACCCAAUCCCGACACGGGGAGGUAGUGACAAUAAAUACUGAUACGGGGCUCUUUCGGGUCUCGUAAUUGGAAUGAGUACAAUCUAAAUCCCUUAACGAGGAACAAUUGGAGGGCAAGUCUGGUGCCAGCAGCCGCGGUAAUUCCAGCUCCAAUAGCGUAUAUUAAAGUUGUUGCAGUUAAAAAGCUCGUAGUUGAACCUUGGGUCUGGCUGGCCGGUCCGCCUCACCGCGAGUACUGGUCCGGCUGGACCUUUCCUUCUGGGGAAUCCCAUGGCCUUCACUGGCUGUGGGGGGAACCAGGACUUUUACUGUGAAAAAAUUAGAGUGUUCAAAGCAGGCCUUUGCUCGAAUACAUUAGCAUGGAAUAAUAGAAUAGGACGUGCGGUUCUAUUUUGUUGGUUUCUAGGACCGCCGUAAUGAUUAAUAGGGAUAGUCGGGGGCGUCAGUAUUCAGCUGUCAGAGGUGAAAUUCUUGGAUUUGCUGAAGACUAACUACUGCGAAAGCAUUCGCCAAGGAUGUUUUCAUUAAUCAGGGAACGAAAGUUAGGGGAUCGAAGACGAUCAGAUACCGUCGUAGUCUUAACCAUAAACUAUGCCGAGUUUUGACCCGCUCGGACCUUAAUUUGGGGG